RNAcentral lists this long non-coding RNA (337 nucleotides) under Rattus norvegicus (Norway rat). Its description in RNAcentral is "long non-coding RNA NONRATT006370". Lineage: Eukaryota; Metazoa; Chordata; Mammalia; Rodentia; Muridae. The record is from RNAcentral.
GGUGUGCGCCAGAGUAGCCACGCUUUCUCUGCUGCCCUACAGAGCCGGACGUCAGCUGUGAAGGUUGUGGGUCCUGGAACUCCAGACAUGAGCGUAGGCUUCAUCGGGGCAGGGCAGCUAGCCUUUGCCCUAGCCAAGGGCUUCACAGCUGCAGGUGUUCUGGCUGCUCACAAGAUAAUGGCCAGCUCCCCAGACAUGGACCAAGCCACAGUCUCUGCCCUCCGGGUAGGUGCCAGGCGAAAGCAGAUAGAAAGCCUGAACCUUUUUAGCGUUAGGGUCUAGUGUUAGGUGUGCAGCACACCUCACCUUGUGAGGGCCAGGUAUGCAGCCCCCCACU